ACCAUUCACCAUUUGUAGCUAUAAUCAUAUCUAGAUCAAGGCAACCAAACCAUAAAAAAUAUAACAACACUAAGAGAAGGCUACCACUACAGCUACAAAAGUGCCUCUAAAUUAUGCAGUAAAAACAUGGCAGCUAGUCCCAACAUCCUGUACCACUGGAUCUACAUCAAACAUGCAAUUCCCUGACUUCUUUUCCUCUGCUGCAGCCCCAGAAACCUCCUACCCAUUCCUUGGCCCAUCUUGUUGGUACUUCAAUGCGUACAAGCCCCCAAACUGUCUACAACCGGGUUCUCUACACUACAUAAAACUAGCAUCCAGCGACACCCCAGUUCAAACUUCACUUCAAUAUUACCCACCUUUUCCACUUACCAACAUGAC
Molecule: long non-coding RNA, 378 nt
Filed under: Phaseolus vulgaris (common bean)
Lineage: Eukaryota; Viridiplantae; Streptophyta; Magnoliopsida; Fabales; Fabaceae
Description: long non-coding RNA (PVUL_LNC004529)
Source: RNAcentral